CUGGAAUCAGGAUUUCAUUCAGGCUGCAUUGACUGUGGGACUUUUCUCUGUUAAAAACAGGUUGAAGACGGCUCAGAAACAUUUGAAGAUUAAAAUUUAGCGUUAUGGCUGCUCGUGGUGUGUAAAGCUUCUACUCAGCUGUAUUUUUGUUACUAAUUUAUGUUUGUUGUUGCUUAACACAGAUUUCAGAAGAGCAAAUAUGAGCACUGUUGCUUAAUCCUUAAUAGUUUAAGUGGAUUGGAAAUAAAAAAAAAUCCAGAUUCUUCUUCCACAGAAGUUUCAUUUGUCAGUGUGGGACUGCUGAGUCACCUGAAGAACUCAUUUCAUUCUCCAUGAUGUUCAUUUACAGAAAUGUUUCACAGGAACUGAUUCCUCCCAUAGGGUGAACUAGUGUGUUUCCAUAAUGAUAUGUUUUUCAUAUCUCAUUAUGAAUGUACUUCUUAAAUGAUCACCGGGGGAAGAAAAGAAGCAGACGUACUUCCAAGAGGGAGCUGCAGUGAGGACACAGCCUGGUCACUGAGGUCAGAGGAGGCGCUGAAAGGUUUCCCUAAUAGUUCCUGGUGAAUCAAAGCAGGACCAUAAAGGUUGCUGGACUGUAUGAUGGCUGUACAGUACAAUCCUACUGACACAGCAGAGGGAUAACGACGCAGACAAAGCCGAUGGCAGAAGAUGUUUGGAGAAGAACUUCAGGCCGUGUACUGACAAGUAGAUCAAAGCAGCUCGUGCUCUGUCUGCUUCCAUUCUGAUGGCAAGAAGAAGAAGAAGGAGAAGAAUGCUUCAGCGAAGUGGCGUUCAUGGUCUCAGUGGACAGUCAUGGUCACACACUGCAUGUGGUUUUAAAAGCAACAUGUCUGUUCACCACAACAAUGGAGAUGUGUAAUAUUAGUGCAGCUACGGUUUGUUCUUGAACAUCAGUUCUGUUUUCUACUUUGACCACUUAGACCAAAAAAAGUGUUGUUUUCAGAUUCUUUCUUAUAAAUCUGUAAAUCACCUGUUCAUUUUUUAUUACAAUUAGUUUCACAUAAAUGUUAGUGUUUCCUUUAUGAUCUUUUAAUGCUUACACUACACUGUACACGUCUACAUUAGAGACAUUUCUAAUGUAGAGUAUGAGACUGGGCUGCUUGACUACGAUUUGGAAAUGGAUGCAAAAUCACACGGAUCGUGCUAUUGUUUGUUUUUUAAUAUGAUGGACUGAACACAGGAGGUAUCUGACUAAGCAAACAUUAGUCCGAUCCCAUUUCUACCUGUCUCUACUGUUUCAACUGUAACUGUCAGGAUAUAUUUAUUCCAGCUCUCACAGGACAAAGGAAUGACUCAGACUUGUCAAAUGUUCUUUGACUUGAUACACAAUAUGAAGUUCACAAUUUU
Molecule: long non-coding RNA, 1368 nt
Organism: Oreochromis aureus
Lineage: Eukaryota; Metazoa; Chordata; Actinopteri; Cichliformes; Cichlidae
Source: Ensembl